Long non-coding RNA from Pezoporus occidentalis (night parrot), 1854 nucleotides. RefSeq lists it as uncharacterized. The transcript has 3 exons. NCBI's taxonomy places the organism in Eukaryota, Metazoa, Chordata, Aves, Psittaciformes, Psittacidae. The record is from RefSeq and is a predicted model, not a curated record.
AGGAAACAGCAGAAUGAAGAUUGCCCAGGUGACAGCAGCAUGACCCUAAAAGAAGUUAAUAAUAAGUUUCCAAAAAGUCUCAGAACUAAUUGCUGAGAGCAUAGGAAAAAACCCACUUGGGACUCAUGGGUUCAAAGCAACAUUCAGGAGAGCAUUGUUUAGAUAAACUAUUUGAUUCCUAAGGGCUUGUUUCCAUCUCAUUUCUUCUUGCACCUCCUCCUCCUCAUGGCUUUCCUCUUAUCCUGAUGUUUCAAAUCUCUGCUCCAGAGAAUGAAAGACUCUAGAGAUCCCUGGUGGACUUAUGAAAAAAUAAACUAUGGAGAAAAACAAUGCAGUUUUCCCUAAUCUUGUUUUUGGAAACAUCUGUGCCAUUUAAUCUGAAACAUUACAAUGAAAAAAUUCAGACUAAGACAGACAUGGAAAAUAUCCUUAUAAACAGCUCAAAUUUGGCAAUGUUAAUUCAAAUGAAAAUAAAGCCUUAUAAAGGGAUCUCUUAGGAAACCUUGAAUUUAAGAGAGGGGCAUUUAACAGCUUUGCAUGUAAUGAAAGUCUACAUAAAACCAGUAUAAUGACUCUGCAUAACAAGCAUCACAGCAACGUGUUAUGCAUUUUUUUGUGGAUUGUAUGGCCUCUCUAAGCUCAAUCUGUAUGCAAGUAAGAAAUAAAAGAUUGUCCAAACUUAGAAGAAAACAACUUAGUAAUGACAAAAUAAAGACAAGUCUGGUGAAAACCUCAGACACCCCAAGCCAACCAUUACUUUAAAAGCAAAGGAAAUAAAGGAGGCAGUUUUUAAUUACUAGCAGUAAUCUGCAUGAGUAAGAAUUUCAGUCUAGAAGAAAAUAAUGCCACAAACUGGCAAGGCACUAGCUGUGUUUGUUGGCUUAGAAGCACUUUCUUUCCAUUACUGAAAACCUACAAGUAGGAUUCUCCAGCAACAAUGUUAUUUCCAUCUUAAAAGAUGAACAUGAAACCUCAAAAUCUAUCAGAUACACUCUAUCAAACAACUAAUAAUCUUCACAGGCAAAUCACUUAGAAAUGCAUUAGGUUUUAAGUGGAAUGCAUUUGCAAGAGAUUCCAGUAACUGUCAGAGCUAAAUGUUUCCUUAACUUUUUGUUUAUGCACAAAAGAAGAUAAAAAUAUUUAGAAGAGAAUGAAGUUAUGAGCCCAGAACAUGUGCCAUGGGAAAUCUAAACCUGAAUGCAGUUGAAGGACUAUCCAAAAGGGACUGACCCAAAGAAUCCCUCCGUCACACAGCAGUUGAAGAGGAAAACCAGACUAUGAACUUAAAGCAACUGAGCUGCUGCUCUGGAGUCUGAGAAAGGUUCACAUGCCAACAACCACUUGCAGAAGAAAAAUAGACUGACUCUCCUGGCCAAAUGAAAAAGUACAUUCCUGAUAUGGCAUCCAGCUGAGAACUUGAGUAGGAAGCAAUACACUCAACAGGCAUCCUGUGUCUUCCUCCAACCCAUCAUCCCACCAAUUUUCUGUUCUCUCAACACUCUCAGAGACUAAGCAUCAGCAGUUCCUUAGAGCUUAGUCCAAGCUAUUUUAUUACCUUAACCAUUUGUUUGUAUCAGUGGUUGCUGAACACAACCCUACAAAGGCACAGAUUAAGAGAGAGGAAAAGGUUUGAAUACAAUAAACUGGCCUGAAUGUCAGCCUAGAAUGCAUGCUGAACUAAUUUUUGAAUUACAGAUUUAUGAAGUGUGUCUGCAUCUUUCUCUCUUGGUGUGUUGUUUGAUUGGUUUUGUUCACCUAGUUCUAUGUGGUUAAUGUCAGGUGCUGGUAUGCCCACCAGAAUUUCCCUGUUCACCUCUCAAGUAACAGCCUUUUCUUCCAAUUCCUCUCUCUUGU